Triticum aestivum (bread wheat) is the source of this 2681-nucleotide long non-coding RNA. RefSeq lists it as uncharacterized. NCBI's taxonomy places the organism in Eukaryota, Viridiplantae, Streptophyta, Magnoliopsida, Poales, Poaceae. The record is from RefSeq and is a predicted model, not a curated record. The transcript has 4 exons.
ACUGCAGAGUCCAGACCAGUCUAACCCUAAUUACCCUUCUCCCGUCUCCUUCCAUAACAUCCAUCAGCCGCCGCCGCCACUCCACCUUCCCUCCUCGCAUCGCUUCAUGUUGCCGCUGGCGGCGCCGGCGCUGAACCACCCUGCGCCAGGCCCCUCCCAUCUAUCCCGCAACGGAUCCCUCCCCCCACUCCAUGACUUUUUCCAUUCAGAUCGCGCCCUCAAGCUUCGGCGGCCCACUCCUGCCUCUCGAGGUGACGUGGCAGCGGUCGCGGCAGGACCGACUACCGGGUUUGGAACCCCUCGAGGUCGCCGGCGACGCGCACAGAUCCAGAUCCAUCCGGUGGCGAGCCAACAUGAGUCAGUCUCGUGGGGAUUGUCAGCGGCAACACGGAGCUGAACACGAAUGUGCCCUUCACGCUGGACGAUGGCAUCAGCAGCAUCAAUUUCAUUAGAUGGUGCUAAAUUGUUCUUCUCUGGGGAAUUGGUGCAAAAUCUAUACCAAAACAAUUUCAAGUCCAGGACUGGAGCCUAUUGAUACUUUAAGGACAUCGGCAUCAUGCCGGUGCAAGGUAAGCACCGUGUCUCUUCCUCCAAUUAUCCCAUCCAUAGCAUAUCACUAUGGCAUAUGUCUAAUGAAACCACACGAAAACAACCAUGGACUCAGCUUGGAGGUGCCUCAUGUGCCAUUUUGUUAAGUAGGACGUCAUGAUUUAGAAUAGUAUCCGACCAAGUGAGCUCAUAGUGUUUUGCAUUUAUCAAAUAGUCCAUGUAUUGUUGACAUUAAUGAGGUAUAUUUGUUCAUUGGGAGAGCGAUGUGCAUGAUGCAUCUCUUUUCUUUUUCUAAGGAUUAUUUCUUCCAAACAUUCCAAUCUUUACCUGUUUAAGGAUUCAAUCUCAUCUAAUAUUGUUAUGCCGUUGGUCCUCAAAUAUUUUAUCAUGCAAGUUUUGUGGCUACAACCAACCUAAAUGUCGGUGAAGAUAUGUUAUGGUUACCCAUCAAGUACUAACUAGCCUUCUGUUUCACCAUAUCCUAUAACUAUUGUUGAAUUAAUUUGUUGACAAAUGCCCAUCAUUUCUUGCAAAGAAUCAUGAUUAUUGAUCAUAUGAAAAAGUAGAAUAGCAGCUAGUUUGAUGCAAUUUAUAUGUUUCUGUAGUAAGUUUUAUUUCAGAAAGGAGGUGUGUGUUGGUACUCUUUAAUUGCAUCUAUUCUAACUGUUACUGCUCGCUGUUAAAGUUGCAAGCCAGGUAAAAAUUAGCUUUACACAACUACUUUUCGUACGUUUGAAAAUUAUUGUUACUCAAAGUACUGCUAGAUUGUAGUUACUAUGUAGAUGUCGCUCAGAAUUAUUUUUUCUUAACUGAUCACAUUGUACUACGUAUUUCUGGCACCUAUAUUUAUAUAUAUCAGUUUUGUACCUGGUUUUGUGAAGUGACGUGCAACAUAUCACACCCAAGAACAAUAUUUGUUCUGAAUUUUUAUCUUAGUCUAUCAAAUUCGACAUGCCCAAUAUCUCCAAUUCAAUUUCGAACACAUUAAAUCUAUAUAGUUAUUUUAAACUAUGAUAAAAGGAGUGGUGUUGGGAUGCAUCGAGUGGAUGGAAAAUGUUUAGAUAUAUACCUGACUUGAUAAGCUGUCCAAAGAACAACUAGUAAUUACAUGCAUGUAAAUCCAUUCAAUAUUUGUAUCGGAUAUACCAGAAAUAAAAUUGCAAUUUGUUUUUUCUACCAACUUUAACCUUUUUAGUUUUUAUUUAUGCUAAUUUCGAACAAUGACAUGGCGGCAUAUGCUUAAACGCCUUAAAAUGAAUAGUAAAUGAAACAUAUUUCAAUGUUUAUAUUUCGAAAUUAUGCCUGCAUAACAAGAUUAUGGUUGUCUAUUUAGAGGCACAAGUAAUUUAACAUUCAGCUUCCCCAUGUGUUGUAUUUUUUAUUGACUGGGUUUCCCCAUGUGUUCUAUUUUUUAUCGACUGGGUUUCCCCAUGUGUUCAUGAAAGGGCGAAACAACUAUAUUGAGAUUCAUUUGCAAUAAAACAAGCUAUGUGUUUCAGUGUUUUAAAUAGUAAACCUUGAUAGCUUAUUAUUGAAUCUUAGUAUUUGUCAAUCAUGCAGUUUAUUUAUAUACAACAAUUUUGUAAAAAUAAAGUUCACUGAUAUUUGUUCAAAUAACUAGCCCGGUCAGGUGCAUAGAUUGAUGACUAACUAGUUGUUUUAACAUGACCUUGAACUUUCUAUGUUUGGAUGAUAAAAUUUCACAUUUAUAGAACAUUUUUUUCUAAAUUGUAUAGAGUCUGCUUUUUUAUAUUCUGUUGCCCACGUUUUUAUGGUACCCUAAUAUGGUAGUGGUGUCCCUCCGAUGAUAGCUUGGAAAAGAAACUAAUAUUAUUACUCUAGAUUCAUAUGAGAGUUUGCUGUUAUAACUUGUUAUAACUUUGUACGUUUUUGGAUUCUAUGCAGGUUUGGCGGUUAGUCUAUGUUAGUUGGUUUUGUAUAGCUUCCUGGAGAAGUGGUGGUGAUGGAGACUAAAAUCAGCUAGUAGGAUAUUUUUUCAUGGAAGCCAUGUUACUAAAAAAAAUGCUCAUAGCGCUUCCUAGAUAUGCUUGUGUUUUGAUAUUAAGCUUUGUUUUUUGUAAUUAAACUAGAUUGUUGGAACUCUGUAUUGUCAUGUGAAUAAAUGUUAUUUU